CCUACGGGAGGCAGCAGUGGGGAAUAUUGGACAAUGGGGGGAACCCUGAUCCAGCGACGCCGCGUGAGUGAAGAAGUAUUUCGGUAUGUAAAGCUCUAUCAGCAGGGAAGAAAGAAAUGACGGUACCUGACUAAGAAGCCCCGGCUAACUACGUGCCAGCCGCCGCUGUAAUACGUAGGGGGCAAACGUUAUCCGGAUUUACUGGGGGUAAAGGGAGCGUAGACGGCGAUGCAAGUCUGAAGUUAAAGACGGGGGCCCAACCUCCGGAAUGCUUUGGAAACUGGAUGGCUGGAGUGCAGGAGAGGUAAGUGGAAUUCCGAGUGUAGCGGUGAAAUGCGUAGAGAUUAGGAGGAACACCAGUGGCGAAGGCGGCUUACUGGACUGUAACUGACGUUGAGGCUCGAAAGCGUGGGGAGCAAACAGGAUUAGAUACCCGAGUAGUC
RNAcentral lists this ribosomal RNA (443 nucleotides) under uncultured bacterium. Its description in RNAcentral is "partial 16S ribosomal RNA". It matches the Rfam family "Bacterial small subunit ribosomal RNA", at positions 338 to 795 of the family's 1533-position model. The record is from RNAcentral.